CCCCUAACCCCUAUAACUACUUAACCCUUAGGAUUCUGUAUUAUUGGUUUUAGGUUGGGGCGACCACGGAGUACAACAAAACCUCCACAAUGAACGGAACUACUUCCUCAUCUGAGAGCUACACCUCUAAGAAUUAAAAUAUUAACAUAAAAUGAUCCAUUUUUGAUCAAUGAACCAAGUUACCCUGGGGAUAACAGCGCAAUCCAUUUCAAGAGCCCCUAUCGACAAAUGGGUUUACGACCUCGAUGUUGGAUCAGGGUAUCCUGGUGGUGCAGCAGCUACUAAAGGUUCGUUUGUUCAACGAUCAAAACCCU
RNAcentral lists this ribosomal RNA (314 nucleotides) under Mantidactylus katae. Its description in RNAcentral is "partial 16S ribosomal RNA". It matches the Rfam family "Bacterial large subunit ribosomal RNA", at positions 2212 to 2597 of the family's 2925-position model. The record is from RNAcentral. Lineage: Eukaryota; Metazoa; Chordata; Amphibia; Anura; Mantellidae.